ACGGGUGAGUAAUGCUUAGGAAUCUGCCUAUUAGUGGGGGACAACAUCUCGAAAGGGAUGCUAAUACCGCAUACGUCCUACGGGAGAAGGCAGGGGACCUUCGGGCCUUGCGCUAAUAGAUGAGCCUAAGUCGGAUUAGCUAGUUGGUGGGGUAAAGGCCUACCAAGGCGACGAUCUGUAGCGGGUCUGAGAGGAUGAUCCGCCACACUGGGACUGAGACACGGCCCAGACUCCUACGGGAGGCAGCAGUGGGGAAUAUUGGACAAUGGGGGGAACCCUGAUCCAGCCAUGCCGCGUGUGUGAAGAAGGCCUUUUGGUUGUAAAGCACUUUAAGCGAGGAGGAGGCUACCGAGAUUAAUACUCUUGGAUAGUGGACGUUACUCGCAGAAUAAGCACCGGCUAACUCUGUGCCAGCAGCCGCGGUAAUACAGAGGGUGCAAGCGUUAAUCGGAUUUACUGGGCGUAAAGCGCGCGUAGGUGGCCAAUUAAGUCAAAUGUGAAAUCCCCGAGCUUAACUUGGGAAUUGCAUUCGAUACUGGUUGGCUAGAGUAUGGGAGAGGAUGGUAGAAUUCCAGGUGUAGCGGUGA
RNAcentral lists this ribosomal RNA (587 nucleotides) under uncultured bacterium. Its description in RNAcentral is "bacterial SSU rRNA". It matches the Rfam family "Bacterial small subunit ribosomal RNA", at positions 102 to 684 of the family's 1533-position model. The record is from RNAcentral.